AAUUAAAAUGUAAAUGCAUUUAUCAAAAGAAGAGGAAAAAAUUGAACCCUGAGCUUUAACUGCUUUAUGAUUUUACUUCUUCAGAAAGCAAUUUUGCUAUCUACAUCUCAACAACAUAAGUAGUCAGACCCUGCAACAUCCAUUUGGAGUCUUACUAAUAAGUGACUGGCUGUUCGUUUCUAGAGGUCCAAAGGUUUGUUUUUGUAAAACUGCAUUGAAAAAUGGGUGGGGGAGGUGGGGGAAGGAACAGACAGACAGAUAGACAGAGAGAGAAAUUAUUUUGUGUUUCUCUUCUUUCUGUUUAAGAUGUUCUUUGUGUUUUUUUAUAGAUCAGUACUAUACUAGAUAGGAUAUGAGUUACUCAUGUCUUUGUAGGGAAAAAAGAAAAGAUGGAAAAGAAGCAAUACACAAAAUGAGCUUAUUUACAAUGAAAUGUAGCAGUUAAUAAACUGAAUAAAGUGCCUAUUUUAAGUUUAGUUGCUGAUGGUUUAUUUUUUUCCCUUAGCUUCAGGAAAAGAAUAUUGCUUUUCAGUUGGCCUCUUGCCUUGACUGAUGAGAUGUUAACAGCUCCUAAGAAGAAGAAAAUCCAUAUGCCAAAGACGACCGUGGGCUCAAUUUCCUACAGAGGAAGAGUGUUGGAUGAAGCAUGGAAGCAGUGAAACCUGGAUCACUUGUUCGGAAUCUAAGAGAAUCCAUCUGAGUUUCCUGCCCAGCUGGAGUUGAUUCAAACCCAAAUCUCUUGCUUUUCUCACAGAAGAGAGGCCCAGCCACUACGAUAUAGGCUACAGAGGACAGAGUGGAGUAUGAGGAGGCAGAGAGCCUCUGUUGUCUCUCUGAAUGAAGCUGUUCCACUGUGCAAAAAAGCCUUCAAAAUUCAAUAGGUUAAAAGAGAGGCUAAGAGGAAAUAUAGUCACACAUAGUGUAUAAUCUAGUAAUUUGUGCCUUCACCUGGCAGAAGGACAUCUGCACACCAUCCCUGCUCCGGCACCUAUCUGCAUGCUUUUAUAUGGAAAAAUCAUUGGAUAAAAUAAAAAAAAAAUCUAGACCUA
RNAcentral lists this long non-coding RNA (1049 nucleotides) under Struthio camelus australis. RNAcentral's name for it is "lncRNA (ENSSCUG00000016089.1)". The record is from RNAcentral. Lineage: Eukaryota; Metazoa; Chordata; Aves; Struthioniformes; Struthionidae.